UACGGGGGGGGUAAGCGUUGUUCGGAAUUACUGGGCGUAAAGGGCUCGUAGGCGGCCAACUAAGUCAGACGUGAAAUCCCUCAGCUUAACUGGGGAACUGUGUCUGAUACUGGAUGGCUUGGAUUCGGGAGAGGAAUGCGGAAUUCCAGGUGUAGCGGUGAAAUGCGUAGAUAUCUGGAGGAACACCGGUGGCGAAGGCGGCAUUCUGGACCGACAUUGACGCUGAGGAGCGAAAGCCAGGGGAGCAAACGGG
This 253-nucleotide ribosomal RNA is filed under the name uncultured bacterium. RNAcentral's name for it is "partial 16S ribosomal RNA". It matches the Rfam family "Bacterial small subunit ribosomal RNA", at positions 524 to 776 of the family's 1533-position model. The record is from RNAcentral.